UCUACGGGUGGCUGCAGUCGAGAAUCUUCGGCAAUGGGCGCAAGCCUGACCGAGCGACGCCGCGUGUGGGAUGAAGGCCUUCGGGUUGUAAACCACUGUUAGAGGGGAUGAAAUGCAGGUGGGUUCUCCCAUCUGUUUGACAUAGCCUCAGAGGAAGGACGGGCUAAGUUCGUGCCAGCAGCCGCGGUAAGACGAACCGUCCAAACGUUAUUCGGAAUCACUGGGGUAAGAGGCGCCGUAGGCGGCGCGGCAAAUACCUCGGCUCAACCGAGGAACUGCGCCCAAAACUGCCGUGCUCGAGGAAGAUAGAGGUGAGCGGAACUUAGGGUGGAGCGGUGAAAUGCGUUGAUAUCCUAAGGAACACCGGUGGCGAAAGCGGCUCACUGGAUCUUUUCUGACGCUGAGGCACGAAAGCUAGGGUAGCGAACGGGAUUAGAUACCCGAGUAGUC
Molecule: ribosomal RNA, 450 nt
Filed under: uncultured bacterium
Lineage: Bacteria
Description: partial 16S ribosomal RNA
Rfam family: Bacterial small subunit ribosomal RNA
Source: RNAcentral